GACGAACGCUGGCGGCGUGCCUAAUACAUGCAAGUCGAACGCUUCUUUCCUCCCGAGUGCUUGCACUCAAUUGGAAAGAGGAGUGGCGGACGGGUGAGUAACACGUGGGUAACCUACCCAUCAGAGGGGGAUAACACUUGGAAACAGGUGCUAAUACCGCAUAACAGUUUAUGCCGCAUGGCAUAAGAGUGAAAGGCGCUUUCGGGUGUCGUUGAUGGAUGGACCCGCGGUGCAUUAGCUAGUUGGUGAGGUAACGGCUCACCAAGGCCACGAUGCAUAGCCGACCUGAGAGGGUGAUCGGCCACACUGGGACUGAGACACGGCCCAGACUCCUACGGGAGGCAGCAGUAGGGAAUCUUCGGCAAUGGACGAAAGUCUGACCGAGCAACGCCGCGUGAGUGAAGAAGGUUUUCGGAUCGUAAAACUCUGUUGUUAGAGAAGAACAAGGACGUUAGUAACUGAACGUCCCCUGAUGGUAUCUAACCAGAAAGCCACGGCUAACUACGUG
This 508-nucleotide ribosomal RNA is filed under the name uncultured bacterium. Its description in RNAcentral is "partial 16S ribosomal RNA". It matches the Rfam family "Bacterial small subunit ribosomal RNA", at positions 28 to 507 of the family's 1533-position model. The record is from RNAcentral.